AUGGGUCUCAAUUCUAUGGGGCUCCACCCCAUGGCUCUCCAUUCUAUGGGGCUCUAUCCCCUGGAUUUCCACCCCAUAGAGUUCCUCUGCCCCACAGAUCUCUGUCCCACAGGACUCCGUCCAAUGACUCUCUGCCCCAUACAUUUCUGCCCCAUAGGUCUUUGCCCCAUAGGGCUGUGUCUCAUGGCUCUCUGCCCCAUAGAUCUCCAUCCCAUGGCUCUUCACCCCAUAGGGCUCCUCUGCCCCACAGAUCUUCAUCACAUGGGUCUCUGUUCCAUCGAUCUCCAUCCCAUGGGGCUCCAUCCCGUGGCUCUUCGAUCUGGAGGACUCAAUCCUGUAUCGCUCUGCCCCAUAGAUCUCCUCCGUCCCACAGCUCUCCAUCCCACAUGUCUCUGCCCCACAUCCCCCCACCCCAUAGCCCUCCUCCGCCCCCCAGCUCUCUGCCCCACAGCUCUCCUCUGCCCCGCAUCCCCCAGCCCCACAGCUCCCCACCCCAUAGAUCUCCUCUGCCCCACAUCUCCCUGCCCCACAGCUCUCCAUCCUGCCUCUCUCUGCCCCACAUCCUCCAGCCCCACAGCUCCCCGCCCCACAUCCCCCCGCCCCAUAGAUCUCUGCCCCACAUCCCCCCCCCCGGCUGUGCGCGGCGCAGCGGUGCAGGAGGAGCCGCACGGUGAUGGGGAUGGUGCUGAGGAUCCGGCGCAGCUGCGCCCCAUCGGAGGGAACGAAUCGGCACAGCGCCCCCUGGGGGUCGUGCAGGGAGCGCAGCGCCGCCCGCACGCAGCGCCGCGUCUGCCGCUCCGCAACCCGCACCCAUGGGUGCUCCUCGGGGUGUGGGUGCUCCCCAUGGUGCAGUGGGUGCUCCUCAUGGUGUGGGUGCUCCUCNUAUGGGGGAGGGUUGUGGGGGGGGGUUAUGGGGCCGGGCUGUACUGGGGACAUGGGGACAGCGUAUGGGGCGCAGCAGUGCCCACCACCCAAUGCGCAGCUGCCCCAGGGCUUCCUACACCCCAUAUCCCACCCCAUAUCCCAUCCCUACCCCAUAGCUUAUGUCCAACCCCACCUCACACCCCAUAG
Molecule: long non-coding RNA, 1071 nt
Filed under: Pavo cristatus (Indian peafowl)
Lineage: Eukaryota; Metazoa; Chordata; Aves; Galliformes; Phasianidae
Description: lncRNA (ENSPSTG00000015113.1)
Source: RNAcentral